RNAcentral lists this long non-coding RNA (1416 nucleotides) under Prunus persica (peach). RNAcentral's name for it is "long non-coding RNA (PPER_LNC003637)". The record is from RNAcentral. Lineage: Eukaryota; Viridiplantae; Streptophyta; Magnoliopsida; Rosales; Rosaceae.
AAAUGAAGUAGGCCCGUUUCGGCCCGGUCCGGUCCGAUGGGCUUUCUCAAUCCCGGCCUAUGGGUCGGGCUUGGGCUUUGAAUUUUCUAUAAAAAAAUCCGGCCUGACCCAGUAUUUUCUCUCUCCUCUUUAAAGCCCAGUCGACCCUACCCAAGCCCGUUAAAUUUGGACCGGGCUAGUCCGACCGGGCCCAUUGACGAGCCCUAGCAUUGGGUUUCUCUUUUCUCUCUCUUCGAGUUCGACUCCUUCCAAAAUAGCUCCUCUCCUCCUCCUGUGACAAUGAGACAGCGCGAUGAACACAACUCCUCUCCUCUCAGGUAUCCCUCUCUUUCUUCUCCCUAAUUGUCUCUCUCAUCUCUAUAUCUCAUGGUCUCUCAAUCUCCUUCCCAGGCUUCGUUUCAAAACCAAACCCAUACCAAAAAUCUCAGCCCCUAUUGAAACCCCCAUUUAGCUCGAUCCCUGCCGUCUCUCUCUCUCUCUCAAUCGUUUCAGCUUUCACUCUCCCUCCCUCACUCGAUUCUCUUUCUCUAUAGCUUUGGCUUGCUCUCUCUCUCUCUCUCUCUCUCUCUCUCUCUCUCUCUCUCUCUCUCUCUCUCUCUCUCGUUUCAGCCUUCACUCUCCCUCCCUCACUCGAUUCUCUUUAUCUAUAGCUUUGGCUUGCUCUCUCUCUCUCUCUCUCUCUCUCUCUCUCUCUCUCUCAUAUAGAUACGAGCACCAAACGUGGGUGGGCACAAAUUUGUGAGUGAUAGAAAGUUUAGGGUUUCAAUUUUGUUAAACUGAAGAUAAUGUUAAUUAUUCAGGGUUUGAGUUUUCUAAUUUAUAUUGUAAGUUUUAGGUUUUAAUAUUGGGCUAUGGUCUCUGCAGGUUUUCAACUUUUUAAUUUGUAUUUGAACCAUUAAUUUGGAGACAAGGUGAGGAUUUCAUAUUAGUGUUGAACUAGAUGUGAGAUUUGAGUAAUGUUAGUUUAAUUUUGAGUUUACUGCAUUCAUCAUUUUUUGGUUUUUAUUUUUAUUUUUCUGAGUUGGUUCUUGUGUCUACAAGUUGCAUCUUGUUUUCAUAUUUGGAUUCCUGAAUGUGCUAUGAUGUCAUUCUUAAGUCUUUUUGUUUUUUUUUUCCCUGGGGUCUGGCGUGUUGCUUUGUUUGCCUUUGUUUAGCCCGGAUUCUUCUUUUUUAUGUGGUUUUUUUGCUUUAGUUUGUAGUCUUGGUCGUGUGGGAUGGGGGUUGUGAGGAUUGCUCAUCCUCCUGUAGCCCCAUUGAUUUAUAAAUAUCAUCUUUGGAAGCUUGUUAUGAUUGAUUUUUUUCUUCUUCUUGUCAGUAUUCUACUAAACGUGUGUGAAGGUUGCCUCUUUUUUGGGGUUUUAAUGAAAGCUACAUAACAACCAAACAAUAAAAGCCUCUGUUAGUUUCCUUUUGGUC